This 74-nucleotide transfer RNA is filed under the name Bacillus subtilis subsp. subtilis str. BSP1. RNAcentral's name for it is "tRNA-Gly". The record is from RNAcentral. Lineage: Bacteria; Bacillati; Bacillota; Bacilli; Caryophanales; Bacillaceae.
CAGGCAGGGCAUAUUACGAUGCAUAAUUUAUGCGUAGAUGGCGGCGCGACCUUAGGCGUGUAACUGAAUUUAAA